RNAcentral lists this long non-coding RNA (348 nucleotides) under Brassica napus (rape). RNAcentral's name for it is "long non-coding RNA (BNAP_LNC015722)". The record is from RNAcentral. Lineage: Eukaryota; Viridiplantae; Streptophyta; Magnoliopsida; Brassicales; Brassicaceae.
GCGUUCAUUCCAGGAGAGAUAGAUUGUUGCUCGCCAAGAGAGUAAGAGGAGCUUUCGAAAUGGAGGAGGACCAGAGAAACCUUUCAGAAUUUUGUAUCCACGGGUAAGCCAAAUCUCUGAGUAGAAUAGUUGAUUAGCCAUCCAAGACUGUUUAUGCCUUGUGUUUAUAACCCUGAGAAUAAGUUAAGUAAUUUCCCUGAAAUUAAUCACCUUGAGGUGUACAAGAAACACAAGAAAAAAUAUUCAAGUUUGAAUCAUAAGUCCAGCAAGAACGUAAGUUAUACGAAUGAUUCCAUCGUCCCACACCUCCGAGGUUCGUUUUCCAGUCACGCGACCAUGCAUUAGGCG